This 480-nucleotide ribosomal RNA is filed under the name uncultured bacterium. Its description in RNAcentral is "bacterial SSU rRNA". It matches the Rfam family "Bacterial small subunit ribosomal RNA", at positions 29 to 524 of the family's 1533-position model. The record is from RNAcentral.
AGUGAACGCUGGCGGCAGGCCUAACACAUGCAAGUCGAGCGGCAGCGGGCUGUAGCAAUACAGUGCCGGCGAGCGGCGGACGGGUGAGGAAUACAUCGGGAUCUACCUUGUCGUGGGGGAUAACGUAGGGAAACUUACGCUAAUACCGCAUACGAACUACGGUUGAACGCGGAGGACCGCAAGGCUUCGCGCGAUUGGAUGAGCCGAUGUCGGAUUAGCUAGUUGGCGGGGUAAUGGCCCACCAAGGCGACGAUCCGUAGCUGGUCUGAGAGGAUGAUCAGCCACACUGGAACUGAGACACGGUCCAGACUCCUACGGGAGGCAGCAGUGGGGAAUAUUGGACAAUGGGCGCAAGCCUGAUCCAGCAAUGCCGCGUGAGUGAUGAAGGCCUUAGGGUUGUAAAGCUCUUUUACCCGGGAUGAUAAUGACAGUACCGGGAGAAUAAGCUCCGGCUAACUCCGUGCCAGCAGCCGCGGUAAU